ACCACUCAUCCACACGGCGCCUAACAUGCUGUCUGCCAUCUGUCCGGUACAGUUGAAACCGGGAUUAAUCCUUGAAGAGCACACUUUUCCAGCGUGCGAGUGGCCAUCAAAGGUGAGUAUUUGCCCACUGAAGUUGGUUACGACGCCAAUCUGCAGUCAGGUCAAGACCCUGGUGAGGACUACGAGCACUCAGAUGAGCUUCCCUGAGAUGGUUUCUGACAGUUUGUGCAGAAAUUCUUCGGCUGUGCAAACACACCAUUUCGUCAGCUGCCCGGGUUGCUGGUCUCAGACGAUCCCGCAGGUGAAGAAGCCGGAUGUGGCGGUCCUGGGCUGGCGUGGUUACACCAUGUCUGCAGUUGUGAGGCCAGUUGGACGUAUUGCCAAAUUCUCUAAAACUAUGUUGUUUGGCGACUUAUGGUAGAGAAAUUAACAUAAAAUGAUCUGACAACAGCUCUGGUGGACAUUCCUGCAGUCAACAUGUAGAUAUUGCACACUCCCUCAAAACUUGAGACAUUUGUGGCAUUGUGUUGUGUGAUUGAACUGCACAUUUUAGAGUGGGCUUCUUGAUAUACCAUGCCUGUCAGGUGGAUGGAUUAUCUUGGCAAAAGAGAAAUGCUCACUAACAGGGAUGUAAACACAUUUGUGCAAAAAAAGUGAGAUAAAUAAGUAUGGAACAUUUCAGAUAUCUUUUAUUUCAGCCCCUUAAACAUGGGACCAACACUUUUACAUGUUGCAUUUAUAUGUUAGUUCAGUAUAAAUACUCCAUACUGUGUUUUCUCUCUCCUCAUAGCCUAUUCUCUACAGUAAAACCGUUUCUCCGCAGAUGUUGCCUUGUGUCGUUACUAAGAUACCCGGGUUAACAACAGUAAGUAUGCAUGGUAAUCUGCUGAGCAGGGGAGCUACGCUAGCACGCUCACACACAGCUCAAUGCACAAUGGUAGACAAAUAAGCCCUUUCAUAUUUACCCACCCCCCUGGAUAGUCUGGGAUGGACGGAAACGAAGGACAUACAGACCCUCGCUAUGUCCCAAAUGGCACCUUAUUUCCUUCAUGUCCCUAUGUACCCUGGUCAAAAGAAGUGCACUAUAUAGGGAAUAGGGUGCCAUUUGGGACGUGAUCUCUAACAUGGAUGGGAAAGAGGGGGGACACAGGACGCCCUGUUUUGGUGUAUUUUUAUUUAGAAUAGGGAGUUAUAUUUUAAGGCACAUAUUACGACACAAUGUCUUAGUGGCUUGAACUGAUCCCGUUGUAGAUGGAGGAUCCCUAUUCCCCAACAUUGGACCUCCCUGCUUUUGGGUUUUCUAGCUGUAUGGGAUUCUAUUUUAUAUUCUAUUCUAUGUUAUAUGCGCUUCUGUAAUAUAUAUUCCCCAUCUAUUCCCAUUGUACACAAAUGCAUACUGCAGUUUGUUCUAAUACAUUUCACAUUUUGGUCAUUUAGCAGACGCUCUUAUCCAGAGAGACUUAACUGCCUACUAGGAAAGUGGAUUAUUUUGUUUUCACAAAUAGACCUUUAAAAUUCCAUACAUCACACACGCACCUCACACGUCACACACACCUAAUCACAUGCACACACGCACACUCAGCAAUUCAGUGCCUCAGGCAGACUGUGGUAAUGGAGAAUUUUUUAAUCAUAGUUUGUGUGUCCAUCCUGUUACCUGACAACUUAUAGUAUAUUUACAUUCUUCACUGAUCCAUUUCAUUACUGUUAGCUUUACAGCUUUAUCUAUCAUGCUCAUAGCUUGUAAAUGUACUCUCUUUUUGCAGUUUCCAUCCACCCUUUUAAACUGUUAACACACGCACACAUAGACACACGCGUACACACACACGCGCACCCUCUACUCCUCAGUGAUAGUGUAGUGACAGACAGGAGGGCCCAAAUUAAAUGAUUCCCUUACCCAUAAUGCCUAGCUGCUCUACCAGUAGUUCAUUAAUGUGCUGAGUUCCGAUAGUGGAACAACACAGAGGGCCAUCGCUCCGACAAUCCCUCAUCUCUAUGAGACGCUACAAUUGAUCACCAAUUCAAUUGCUAACUAGAGAAAAUUUAAUUGGGAGCCUUAACAUUGUUUGUUAACCACUGUGGCGAUGGAAUUAGACGGAUUACCAGGUCGUGUACUGCGAGCAUGCGCUGACCAACUGGCAGGUGUCUUCACUGCCAUUUUCAACCUCUCCCUGUCCGAGUCUGUAAUACCAACAUGUUUUAAGCAUACCACCAUAGUCCCUGUGCCCAAGAAGACUACGGUAACCUGCCUAAAUGACUACUACUGUAGCCAUCAAGUGCUUUGAAAGGCUGGUCAUGGCUCACAUCAACACUAUUAUCCCAGAAACCCUAGUCCCACUCAAUCUGCAUACCGCCCCAACAGAUCCGCGAAUGAUGCAAUAUCUAUUGCACUCCACACUGCCCUUUCCCACCUGGACAAAAGGAACACCUAUGUGAGAAUGCUAUUAAUUGACCACAGCUCACUGUUCAAAACCAUAGUGCCCUCAAAGCUCACCAAUAAGCCAAGGACCCUGGGACUAAACACCUCCCUCUGCAACUGGAACCUGGACUUCCUGACGGGCCGCUCCCAGGUGGUGAGGGUAGGCAACAACACAUCCGCCACCCUGAUCCUCAACACAGGGGCCCCUCAGGGGUGCGUGCUCAGGUUUCUUGGUGUCCACAUCACCAACAAACUAACAUGGUCCAAGCACACCAAGACAGUCGUGAAGAGGGCACGACAAAACCUAUUCCCCCCCAGGAGACUAAAAAGGUUUGGCAUGGGUCCUCAGAUCCUCAAAAGGUUCUACAGCUGCACCAUCGAGAGCAUCCUGAUGGGUUGCAUCACUCCCUGGUAUGGCAACUGCUCAGCCUCCGACCGCAAGGCUCUCUGGAGGGUAGUGCAUACGGCCCAGUACAUCACUGGGGCCAAGCUUCCUGCCUUCCAGGACCUCUAUACCAGGCGGUGUCAGAGGAAAGCCCUGAAAAUUGUCAAAGACUCCAGCCACGUAAUUCAUAGACUGUCCUCUCUGCUACCACACGGCAAGCGGUACCGGAGCGCCAAGUCUACGUCCAAGAGGCUUCUAAAGUCUAGGUAACUCUACUGGAACUGUAGGUAGAUUCUGGUCUGGGUGCUCUGCCUCUCAUCUAACUCUACUGGAACUGUAGGUAGAUUCUGGUCUGGGUGCUCUGCCUCUCAUCUAACUCUACUGGAACUGUAGGUAGAUUCUGGUCUGGGUGCUCUGCCUCUCAUCUAACUCUACUGGAACUGUAGGUAGAUUCUGGUCUGGGUGCUCUGCCUCUCAUCUAACUCUACUGGAACUGUAGGUAGAUUCUGGUCUGGGUGCUCUGCCUCUCAUCUAACUCUACUGGAACUGUAGGUAGAUUCUGGUCUGGGUGCUCUGCCUCUCAUCUAACUCUACUGGAACUGUAGGUAGAUUCUGGUCUGGGUGCUCUGCCUCUCAUCUAACUCUACUGGAACUGUAGGUAGAUUCUGGUCUGGGUGCUCUGCCUCUCAUCUAACUCUACUGGAACUGUAGGUAGAUUCUGGUCUGGGUGCUCUGCCUCUCAUCUAACUCUACUGGAACUGUAGGUAGAUUCUGGUCUGGGUGCUCUGCCUCUCAUCUAACUCUACUGGAACUGUAGGUAGAUUCUGGUCUGGGUGCUCUGCCUCUCAUCUAACUCUACUGGAACUGUAGGUAGAUUCUGGUCUGGGUGCUCUGCCUCUCAUCUAACUCUACUGGAACUGUAGGUAGAUUCUGGUCUGGGUGCUCUGCCUCUCAUCUAACUCUACUGGAACUGUAGGUAGAUUCUGGUCUGGGUGCUCUGCCUCUCAUCUAACUCUACUGGAACUGUAGGUAGAUUCUGGUCUGGGUGCUCUGCCUCUCAUCUAACUCUACUGGAACUGUAGGUAGAUUCUGGUCUGGGUGCUCUGCCUCUCAUCUAACUCUACUGGAACUGUAGGUAGAUUCUGGUCUGGGUGCUCUGCCUCUCAUCUAACUCUACUGGAACUGUAGGUAGAUUCUGGUCUGGGUGCUCUGCCUCUCAUCUAACUCUACUGGAACUGUAGGUAGAUUCUGGUCUGGGUGCUCUGCCUCUCAUCUAACUCUACUGGAACUGUAGGUAGAUUCUGGUCUGGGUGCUCUGCCUCUCAUCUAACUCUACUGGAACUGUAGGUAGAUUCUGGUCUGGGUGCUCUGCCUCUCAUCUAACUCUACUGGAACUGUAGGUAGAUUCUGGUCUGGGUGCUCUGCCUCUCAUCUAACUCUACUGGAACUGUAGUUAUCUAGAUGAUCUCUCUCUCUCUAUUUACUCACUCACUCACUCACUGUGUGUGCGUGCGUGUGUAGCGACUGUAGUGAUAUGAACUGCAGCGGCCACGUUUGUGUGUGUGUGCGUGUGUGCGUGUGUGUUGGUGUGCGCGUGUGUGCAUGUGUGUGCGUGUGUGUGCGUGUAAGCAGCAUGACUCAGGUCUUACCAGAUUCUUCCUGUUGCCUCAGUCAUCAGUCUGAGGCCUUGCUUCACUCCACUCUUACUAGUCCAACUCACAAUUCGAUCAACACACAGUCCAACACAGAGCUAAUUAGACAGUGGAGAAACACACACACACAUUCACACACAGUAAAUGAAACCAAGAGAUUUGGUGUGAAUCAUCUGUGAAGUGAGGAAAAAAAUAAGUUAUUUUUCUCACACUCCCAGGAGCAAAUGUUGUUCAAGAGGUCUUGUAAUGUUUUGUAUUGAGUUCCAACAAAUAUUGACUCAUCAUUCUUUAAUUAGGUCUUCUCAUAUUCUGAACUCCCACAAAUACAGAUCCAUGACAUUGACCGUACUGCAGCAUGCAGCAGAAACUAACACGUUCCCACACCCACGUACGCACGUGUGCUCUCUCUCUCUCUCUCUCUCUCUCUCUCUCUCUCUCUCUCUCUCUCUCUCUCUCUCUCUCUCUCUCUCUCUCUCUCACACGCACGCACGCACGCACGCACGCACGCACACACGCACACACACACACUUGCAUAACUAAACUUUUGGGGACACACCAUUCAGUCCCAUUCAAAAUCCUCUUUUUCCUAAACCUAACCCUAAUGUGUAUCCUAACCUUAACCCGAAACCCAACCCUAAAACUCACCCAAGCUCCUAACCCUAAACCUAAUUCUAACACUAGUUCUAAUCUUAACCCUGAACCACCUAGAAAUAGCAUUUGACCUUGUGGGGACUGACAAAAUGUCCCAACAAGUAUAGUUAAACACGUUCAUACUCUCACACACACACAGACAACCAUACACACACAACUUGCUGUACAUAUCUCUCUGACCCCUGCUUACUACAGGACUUGAGAUCUGACGCUGGGAGAUUAAAUGUCUUGUUUAAUUACACCUGAUUAGACCAUGGAGGAACUCAAAUCCCUCUUG
Molecule: long non-coding RNA, 5381 nt
Organism: Oncorhynchus keta (chum salmon)
Lineage: Eukaryota; Metazoa; Chordata; Actinopteri; Salmoniformes; Salmonidae
Exons: 3
Source: RefSeq, a predicted model, not a curated record